RNAcentral lists this long non-coding RNA (1368 nucleotides) under Lactuca sativa (garden lettuce). RNAcentral describes it as "long non-coding RNA (LSAT_LNC002382)". The record is from RNAcentral. Lineage: Eukaryota; Viridiplantae; Streptophyta; Magnoliopsida; Asterales; Asteraceae.
UGGCAUGGGACCCGGAUCAGCUAAAUCGCACACCUCAUUACAAGUAUGGGUCAUGGCUAUUCUCGUCGUCGAUUCUCAUACCUUGGAGCUUGAUCCCUGAUUUUCCAUGCCCUCGCCCAUAACCCUCCUUCCUUCCCCUGCUCGUCGAUUCCCAAGUGCAUAAAUCACCUGAAUCCUUUAUUGAUCAUACAAAUUCGUUUUCAAUCUAUCAGAAAUUGAUACUAAAUGAAUUGAACCCAUCAAAAUCGUAGAAAAUUUAAUGAUUUAAACAGAUUGGUGAUUUUUCAUCAGUGUGAAUCAUUUCCAUAGUUGAAGCUGAGCGAUAAGUGUGCAUCACUCAUCACUGUUGAAGUGGAUUUCAAUUAAAAGGUAUGUAAUGGUUUAUUAAUUUCCCCCUGUUCUUUUACUAUCCACUUCAACACUACUUGUAGGUUCAUUUGAAACUGCUUGUUUUAAAUGUCAUUUUAAAGCAUAUCGACUGAAUCAAUUUUUUUAUUCGAAUUUAAUGCCACAUUAGCUAUUUAUGGUUUGCUCAUAGUGUGGUGUUCAGAAUUCAUAGAGUAUUAGAAAACAAAAAAUAUUUAAAGGAAAUAAGUACCCAUCACCAAAUAUUUGUCAAUUCUUACCAUAAAAACGUACACACCCAAUACAAUAUGAGAGUAGUAAUGUAAUGGUUCCCAAGCAUUCACACAUUCACCCAAUACACCAAAUAUUUGCAGCUUGUUGUUUAAAAAAUGCGAUCUUGAUGCAUAUUAAGUGUUUGAUGAAAUGUGUGAAUGAAUUUUUUUAUUUGAAUUUAAUGCAACAUUAGCUGUAUUGUUUGUUCAUAGUGAGGUGUUCUGAAUUCAUGGAGUAUUAGAAAAGAAAGAUUAUUUAAAAUAAAUAAGUUUCAUUCUCCAAAUAUUUGUCAAUUCCAACCAAAAAAUUGUGCACACCCAAUACAAUUUGAGAGUAGUUAUGGUUGCCAUAAAAUGAUAUUGAUAUGUUAGCCAGCAUUACACUUUCAGAUGAGCUAAUUUUUUUUGUUAUUUUACUUAGUUAAUUUUCAUAUGAGAUAAUUUAUUCUUAAAAAGGUACAUAUUUUCUAGGUUGCUGAGGUUUGCUAGUGAUGAAGGAAUAGAACCACUUAGUCGAUUUUAGGCUCAACUCAAGAUCAGUGAGAGACUUCAAAUUCCCAAGUUCAUUGGGAAUGCGACCAGAGAGUUUAUUGUAGAACAAAUAAAGGAUUUUCAAAGAUGUUAGAUCACCCAAUGAUGAAGGAAUUAAGCCAGAUAGAUGGUUUAAAGCGAGGCUUAUGCCAUUAAGUGAUGACCUGCAUCUUGUAAUUUGACACUAUUGGUAUUUGUAACUUGAGAUUGUGCUUUUGUA